GACGAACGCUGGCGGCGUGCUUAACACAUGCAAGUCGAACGGAAAGGCCCCCAUCUUGGUGGGGGUGCUCGAGUGGCGAACGGGUGAGUAACACGUGGGUGAUCUGCCCUGUACUUCGGGAUAAGCUUGGGAAACUGGGUCUAAUACCGGAUAGGACCAUGGUUUAGUGUCUCAUGGUGGAAAGAUUAUUGUUUUGGUGCAGGAUGAGCUCGCGGCCUAUCAGCUUGUUGGUGGGGUAAUGGCCUACCAAGGCGUCGACGGGUAGCCGGCCUGAGAGGGUGGACGGCCACAUUGGGACUGAGAUACGGCCCAGACUCCUACGGGAGGCAGCAGUGAGGAAUAUUGCACAAUGGGCGCAAGCCUGAUGCAGCGACGCCGCGUGGGGGAUGACGGCCUUCGGGUUGUAAACUCCUUUCGUUAGGGACGAAGCCGCACUUUUUUUGGGUGUGGUGACGGUACCUUUGUUAAGAAGCACCGGCUAACUACGUG
RNAcentral lists this ribosomal RNA (489 nucleotides) under uncultured bacterium. Its description in RNAcentral is "partial 16S ribosomal RNA". It matches the Rfam family "Bacterial small subunit ribosomal RNA", at positions 28 to 507 of the family's 1533-position model. The record is from RNAcentral.